Molecule: long non-coding RNA, 333 nt
Filed under: Vigna radiata
Lineage: Eukaryota; Viridiplantae; Streptophyta; Magnoliopsida; Fabales; Fabaceae
Description: long non-coding RNA (VRAD_LNC012307)
Source: RNAcentral
AUAUCGAUACACAAAUCAAAAAAUACUCAUGAAAUUUUGUAGUUUAAAAAAAAAAAGAGUAGUAUCAAAUAACUAUAAAAGUUUUAUGUGUCCCAGAGUAUUUGUCAUGUCAUAGACAAUCACGACGAAACAACUUAACCUUUAUGCUUGAAAAUCGCGAGGUAAUUCGUAAAUGCUACAGUCACAAUCAGUGUUAUUACACAAUCUUUUGAAGGUGACAAAGUCAAGCGGGCGGUGGAAUCAAUUUCACCAAAUAGAGGACAAUCCCAAAAACGAAGCUACAUCAACUAUCAUACUGUUUUCCAACAGAAAGAACAAGGUGCAUCUUCCAUG